GCUGGUGUAGCUCAGUUGGUAGAGCAGCUGAUUUGUAAUCAGCUGGUCGGGGGUUCAAGUCCUCUCACCAGCU
Molecule: transfer RNA, 73 nt
Filed under: Bacteroidota bacterium
Lineage: Bacteria; Pseudomonadati; Bacteroidota
Description: Bacteroidetes bacterium (groundwater metagenome) tRNA-Thr
Rfam family: tRNA
About the family: Transfer RNA (tRNA) molecules are approximately 80 nucleotides in length. Their secondary structure includes four short double-helical elements and three loops (D, anti-codon, and T loops).
Source: RNAcentral